Molecule: ribosomal RNA, 253 nt
Filed under: uncultured bacterium
Lineage: Bacteria
Description: partial 16S ribosomal RNA
Rfam family: Bacterial small subunit ribosomal RNA
Source: RNAcentral
UACGAGAGGCCCAAACGUUAUUCGGAAUUACUGGGCUUAAAGAGUUCGUAGGCGGCAUGAAAAGCAGGGUGUGAAAGCCCUCGGCUCAACCGAGGAAUUGCGCUCUGAACUGUCGUGCUUGAGGAACCUAGAGGUGAGCAGAACUGAUGGUGGAGCGGUGAAAUGCGUUGAUAUCAUCAGGAAUACCGGAGGCGAAGGCGGCUCACUGGGGGUUUUCUGACGCUGAGGAGCGAAAGUGUGGGGAGCGAACGGG